RNAcentral lists this small RNA (114 nucleotides) under human gut metagenome. Its description in RNAcentral is "Ribosomal protein L10 leader". It matches the Rfam family "Ribosomal protein L10 leader". Rfam says of the family: This family is a putative r-protein leader autoregulatory structure found in B. subtilis and other low-GC Gram-positive bacteria. It is located in the 5' untranslated regions of mRNAs encoding ribosomal proteins L10 and L12 (rplJ-rplL). The record is from RNAcentral.
AAAUAAUCUCUGUAUACCGUAGACAGCAGGAGCUUUUUAAGGCUUAAAUUUCCUGCCGAGGCACAGAAAAAUGCUUUUCUGCCCCCGUAUGUCUAUAUGGGGGUUGUUUUUUUG